RNAcentral lists this ribosomal RNA (420 nucleotides) under Acanthamoeba sp. Its description in RNAcentral is "partial 18S ribosomal RNA". It matches the Rfam family "Eukaryotic small subunit ribosomal RNA", at positions 750 to 1085 of the family's 1831-position model. The record is from RNAcentral. Lineage: Eukaryota; Discosea; Longamoebia; Acanthamoebidae.
AGGAACAGAUCGUUUACCGUGAAAAAAUUAGAGUGUUCAAAGCAGGCAGAUCCAAUUUUCKGCCACCGAAUACAUUAGCAUGGGAUAAUGGAAUAGGACCCUGUCCUCCUAUUUUCAGUUGGUUUUGGCAGCGCGAGGACUAGGGUAAUGAUUAAUAGGGAUAGUUGGGGGCAUUAAUAUUUAAUUGUCAGAGGUGAAAUUCUUGGAUUUAUGAAAGAWUAACUUCUGCGAAAGCAUCUGCCAAGGAUGUUUUCMUUAAUCAAGAACGAAAGUUAGGGGAUCGAAGACGAUCAGAUACCGUCGUAGUCUUWMCYWUAGCGAUGCCGACCAGCGAUUAGGAGACGUUGAMCUUCCCCUUUCCCCAUCGGUGCGGUCGUCCUUGGCGUCUCGGUUUCGGCCGGGCGCGGGGAUGGCYMCRMA